Molecule: ribosomal RNA, 245 nt
Filed under: uncultured bacterium
Lineage: Bacteria
Description: partial 16S ribosomal RNA
Rfam family: Bacterial small subunit ribosomal RNA
Source: RNAcentral
UACGGAGGGUGCAAACGUUGCUCGGAAUCAUUGGGCGUAAAGCGCACGUAGGCGGCCGACUAAGUCGGAUGUGAAAGCCCAGGGCUCAACCCUGGAAGUGCAUUCGAAACUGGCCGGCUUGAAUAUGGAAGAGGGUCGCGGAAUUCCCGGUGUAGAGGUGAAAUUCGUAGAUAUCGGGAGGAACACCAGUGGCGAAGGCGGCGACCUGGGCCAAUAUUGACGCUGAGGUGCGAAAGCGUGGGGAG